This 247-nucleotide ribosomal RNA is filed under the name uncultured bacterium. RNAcentral's name for it is "partial 16S ribosomal RNA". The stretch from base 1 to 194 matches the Rfam family "Bacterial small subunit ribosomal RNA", at positions 118 to 309 of the family's 1533-position model. The record is from RNAcentral.
UGAGGAACAUGACCUUCGGCGGGGGAUAGCCGGCCCAACGGCCGGGUAAUACCGCGUACGACCACUUUGGGACAUCCCUCGGUGGUGAAAGCAGCAAUGCGCCGAUGGAGUGCCUCGCGGCCUAUCAGCUAGUUGGUGAGGUAACGGCUCACCAAGGCGACGACGGGUAGCUGGUCUGAGGAGGAUGGCCAGCCCAACUAGUUUGGGGACUGGAGACCACCGGCCCAGACCUCCGUACGGGGAGCAG